Molecule: long non-coding RNA, 198 nt
Organism: Phyllostomus discolor (pale spear-nosed bat)
Lineage: Eukaryota; Metazoa; Chordata; Mammalia; Chiroptera; Phyllostomidae
Exons: 3
Source: RefSeq, a predicted model, not a curated record
AUAGAUUUUAUUUAUUUAUUUUUAGAGAGAAGAGAAGGGAGGGAGGAGAGGGAGAGAAACAUCAGUGUGUAGUUGCGUCUCAUGUGGGCCCCACUGGGAGCCUGGUCUGCAACCCAGGCAUGUGCCCUGACUGGGAAUCGAACCAGUGACCCUUUGGUGUGCAGCCCAUGCUCAAUCCACUGAGCUACACCAGCCAGG